AUAUUGUUCACCAAUUCAGGUUGUUACUAGUGUUCUUCUCACUGGUGCCUUCUCUGUUUCCUCUUCCGCUCUCUUCGACGCCGUGCUAAGCAUUCUAAAGAAAUGGGCUAUUCUGAAUGGUUUGUGCUACCUUGCAACAUUUUUUCUUGGAAUCAAUUCUGUUGGUUUGUUCCUUUAUUCUGCCAGGCUUGCUUUCAACUCUUUAAUGGAAGGCGAUACUGACAAAGAAAAUGAAAGUAAAGUAGUGGUCAGUCAGGUUCACCAAAUUCAACAUCUGAUAGUGCUACAGAUGGAGCAGAGUUGACAAGUAGCCAGGGAGAUCAAAAUCCAGACAAUAUACAGAAAUGAAAGAGAGAAUUUACAGGAAUAGGUUUCUGUUCUCAUAACUUUUUUGUAAUUAGAACAAAAAAAAUCAGCAUAAUCAAUCUUAGUCUUGCAACUAUAUUCUGGGGAAGGGGGAGAGAGAGGUUGAUUUCAAGAGGGUUGGUAGAGUGAUUCAAAAUAAGGAAAGAUCAUUUAGCCAGGAACAGUUCACAGACAUCGAGUUUAGCAGUAGAUGAUCUGACCAUGGUUUGAACAGAAAGCCAGUAACUUCAUUUGAAGUUGUCUUGUUUUUGAACUGAAGAGCCUGCUGCAUAUGAUACAAAACUGGACACUGCACUUCACAGUAUGAGCUCAUCUACUCUUAUUUCUAUGAUCUUUGAGAUGCUCGUGGAUGAUAUUUGUUGGAAAUAAAAGCGGAAACAAAGAAUAAGGAGGAAUUGAAGGAUAAA
Molecule: long non-coding RNA, 773 nt
Organism: Populus trichocarpa (black cottonwood)
Lineage: Eukaryota; Viridiplantae; Streptophyta; Magnoliopsida; Malpighiales; Salicaceae
Exons: 2
Source: RefSeq, a predicted model, not a curated record